RNAcentral lists this ribosomal RNA (403 nucleotides) under uncultured bacterium. RNAcentral's name for it is "bacterial SSU rRNA". It matches the Rfam family "Bacterial small subunit ribosomal RNA", at positions 985 to 1392 of the family's 1533-position model. The record is from RNAcentral.
GGCCCUCAGACUGUACGAGAGGUUGGUGCCUUCGGGACUCUGAGACAGGUGCUGCAUGGCUGUCUUCCGCUCGUGUUGUGAAAUGUUGGGUUAAUUCCCGCCCCCAGCGCAACCCUUAUCCUUACUUGCCUGCGGGUAAUGCCGGGAACUUUCUGGAGACUGCCGGUGAUAAACCGGAGAAAGGGGGGGACAACACCAAGUCUUCUUGGCCCUUACAAGGAGGGCUACACACGUGCUACAAUGGGCGGUACACAGGGUUGCAAACCCUCGAGGUGGAGCUAAUCUCAAAUGGCCGGUCGUACUCCGGAUUGUAGUCUGCGACUCGACUCCAUUAAGUCAGAAUCGCUAGUAAUCGUGGAUCAUAAUGCCACGGUGACUACCUGCCCGGGUCUUGUACCCACCG